Molecule: ribosomal RNA, 433 nt
Filed under: uncultured bacterium
Lineage: Bacteria
Description: partial 16S ribosomal RNA
Rfam family: Bacterial small subunit ribosomal RNA
Source: RNAcentral
AACGAACGCUGGCGGCAUGCCUAACACAUGCAAGUCGAACGAGACCUCCGGGUCUUGUGGCGCCCGGGUGCGUCACGCGUGGGAACCUGCCCUUAGGUUCGGCAUAACUCCCCGACAGGGGUGCCAACACCGGACCAUGUCUUCGGCCCAAAGAUUUAUUGCGUUUGGUUGGGCCCGCGUUGGAUUAGCUAGUUCGUAGGGUAAUAGCCUACUAAGGCGACGAUCCACAGCUGGUCUGAGAGGAUGGUCAGCCACACUGGGACUGAGACACGGCCCAGACUCCUACGGGAGGCGGCAAAGGGGAAUAGUGGAAAGUGGGCGAAAGCAUGAUCCAGCAAGGCCGCGUAAGUGAUGAAGGCCUUAAGGUUGUAAAGCGUUUUUAACCGGGAUGAUAAUGACAGUACCUAGAGAAUAAGCCCCGGCUAACUCCGUG